This 472-nucleotide ribosomal RNA is filed under the name uncultured bacterium. RNAcentral's name for it is "bacterial LSU rRNA". It matches the Rfam family "Bacterial large subunit ribosomal RNA", at positions 835 to 1301 of the family's 2925-position model. The record is from RNAcentral.
AAACCAGGAAAUAGCUGGUUCUCCGCGAAAUCUAUUGAGGUAGAUCGUCAUCUGAAUACCGCCGGAGGUAGAGCACCGGAUGGGCGUAGGGGGACCCAAAGUCCUACAAACCCAACCGAACUCCGAAUGCCGGCGAGUACUGGGUGGCAGACAGACAGCGGGUGCUAAGGUCCGUUGUCGAGAGGGAAACAGCCCAGACCACCAGCUAAGGCCCCUAAUUCGUGGCUAAGUGGGAAAGCAUGUGGGACGGCCAAAACAACCAGGAGGUUGGCUUAGAAGCAGCCAUCCUUUAAAGAAAGCGUAAUAGCUCACUGGUCUAAUCAAGCUGUUCUGCGGCGAAAAUGUAACGGGGCUCAAGCCACGAGCCGAAGCUGUGGGUGCGCAGAAAUGCGUGCGGUAGCGGAGCGUUCCCUAGGCCGUCGAAGCGGUAUCCGUGAGGGGCCGUGGAGGUAUGGGAAGUGCGAAUGCGGAC